This 615-nucleotide ribosomal RNA is filed under the name uncultured soil bacterium. Its description in RNAcentral is "bacterial SSU rRNA". It matches the Rfam family "Bacterial small subunit ribosomal RNA", at positions 35 to 628 of the family's 1533-position model. The record is from RNAcentral.
GCUGGCGGCGUGGAUAAGACAUGCAAGUCGAGCGAGAUUUUUUUCUGUAGCAAUACAGGGAAAAGUCUAGCGGCGAACGGGUGCGUAACACGUGGGCAACCUGCCAAGAAGUGGGGGAUAGCUCGCCGAAAGGCGAAUUAAUACCGCAUGUGAUCAGAGUGGACAUCCAUUCAAAAUCAAAGUCGGGGCAACCUGACGCUUCUUGAGGGGCCCGCGGCCUAUCAUCUAGUUGGUGCGGUAACGGCCCACCAAGGCUUAGACGGGUAGCUGGUCUGAGAGGACGACCAGCCACACUGGGACUGAGACACGGCCCAGACACCUACGGGUGGCAGCAGUCGAGAAUUUUUCUCAAUGGGGGAAACCCUGAAGGAGCGACGCCGCGUGGAGGAUGAAGGUCUUCGGAUUGUAAACUCCUGUCAUUGGGGAACAAUGCGUAAAUAUUAACUGUAUUUACGUUGAUAGUACCCGAGGAGGAAGAGACGGCUAACUCUGUGCCAGCAGCCGCGGUAAUACAGAGGUCUCAAGCGUUGUUCGGAUUCAUUGGGCGUAAAGGGUGCGUAGGCGGCGCGGUAAGUCGGGUGUGAAAUCUCGGGGCUUAACUCCGAAACUGCAUUC